AUUUAAAUUGAAAAAACAUUUUAAUAUUUAUUGUAAUAUUAUACCGUUUACCCGAAAUAAAACGGUGGUUUGGGUAUAAAAAUAUUGGAAUAAUAUUAAAAGGCGAAAACGAGGCGUUAAAAACAAUUUAACAGGAUAAUUUUCCAGCAAAAAAACCAAAAAAACCGAAAAAAAUAGGAACGGAAAGGACGGGAAAUCGCAAAUUACCCAAAACAAUUUUUCCCAACGCAAAAACAAAAGUAAAACCAAAGGAAAUAACGGAAAUUCCGGCGGAAAUUGGAUAAAACGCAAACCCAACGAAAAAAAAAACGCAAAUCCGGGGGGUCCGACAAUUUUAAAUAUCGGAAAAAUCGAAAAAAUAAAACCAUUGAAAAACCAAUUCGGUGUUACCGUUGCAAUAGUAAUACGCAUUUCGUUUAUUAAUAUCCGGAAAAAAUUUCGGGGUUAGGUAAACAGCAAACCAAAAUUUCGGAUUAAUUUAAAACCAAAAAGGAAAUUAAAAUUUAAAUAAUUAAAGGCAAAAAUACGCAAAAUAACCUUUUUAAAAAACCUAUUAUUAUAUUUAAUAAAUUUAAUACCCCAAUUUUACCCCAACGUCCCAUAUUUUGAAUUUCGGUUCGUUUGUUAAAUUUACCUGGAAUUAUUACCCAAAUGGCCAUAAAUACGGGUGCAAAAGUUAAUUUAAUAAAUAAAAUUUUUGCGUUAUAAUAUUAAUUAUUUUUGCAAAUAUGCAAAAUAUUAGUUAUUAUUAAUGUGGAAUAGGACGAAAUUAUUACCAAAGGAAUUUAUUUUGUACAAUUAUAGGUUAUUAAUUUUCGAAAUAUUUUUAAAAAAAUGGAACGUUUGUAUAUUGCGAUAUAAAAAAUAAAAGGAAAUUUUCCUAUUAUUUGGAAAAGGCCGGUUUUGGCAAACGAAAAUAUUAUUAUAAAUAAUUCCACGUACCAAUAAUGGUUUAAAAUAAUAAAAAAGGAUUUUCAAAUGUGCAAUAACGCCAAAAGAAUUUUAUAUUCGGUUAAGGGAUAUAUACGGAUUUAUACCGUUAUUUUAGCAAAUUAUUUAUUUCCCGUUUUACCCGACGAAAAUAAAAAAAAGGAUUUUUUUUCCAAACGAAAAAUCAUUUUACCGCAAAAAUAUAAAAAUUACCAAAAUAUUUUUUUUAAAAUAAGCAAUUAAAGGUAUAUUUAUUAAUAUUAAUGCAAUUUAUCCCAUUAAUUUAAUCGAAAAAAAAAUAUUUCCGCAUUUGCCCAUUUAUUUUUUAUUACCAAAAAAAUUGGCCGAAUUACAAAAAUAUAUUAAAAAAAACCUGAAAUUUAAACGUAUCCGCAAAUCCAAUAAUUUUGCAAAAACACCCAUUUUUUUUAUUUCCAAAAAGGAUAAUAUAUUGCGUUUUUGCGUGGAUUAUCGAAAUUUGAAUUCGGUUAUUAAAAAAACAGGUAUUUUUUACCCCUAAUUGCAAAAAUUAUGGACCGCGUGUAAAAUUCGCAAUAAUUUACCAAAUUGGAUUUUAAAAAUAUAUAUUACAAAAUCCGUAUUAGGAAAAGGGAUAAAUAAAAAACUGUUUUUCGCAUUCGUUAUAAUUAUUUUAAAUAUAUUAUUAUGUUUUUUGGUUUUUGCAAUACCCCUGCAAUUUUCCAAAAUUAUAUAUAAAAAAUUUUAGGAAAUUUCGUGGAUCGUUAUUGCGUUAUAUAUUUAAAUAAUAUUUUAAUUUAUUCCCCUAAUAAAAAAACCUAUAAAAAAUAUGUACGAAAAAUUUUGGAAAGAUUUAGGGAAACGAGCUUUUACGUUAAAUUGUUUAAAUGCGAAUUUUAUAUACAAAGAAUUAAAUUUUUGGAUUAUAUAAUUAAUAUAUAGGGAAUGUCCAUAAAUUUACGCAGGGUAACCGCUAUUUAGAAAUAAUUUGCACCCAAAUUAUAUUAUAAUAUUUACGUUUUUUUGGGGUUUUGCAAUUUUUAUCGCCGUUUUAUUCGUCGUUAUUUAUCCAUUGCACGCCUUUUAUCAAAUUUAUUUAAAAGUAUAAAAAAAAAAAGGAAACCCGGAAAUAUUACGCCUUUAAAACGUAAUAUUGUUUUGGCAAUUUUUGAAAAAUUGAAAAUUGCGUUUUUUUAGGCGUUUUUGCUACGUUAUUACGAUUUUUUAUUCCCUAUAUAUUUGGAAACCGAUAUUUCGGUAUACGUAUAGGGGGCGAUUUUAUUAUAAUUUUUUAAAAA
This 2207-nucleotide small RNA is filed under the name Pyricularia oryzae. RNAcentral describes it as "Magnaporthe oryzae sRNA M_BR32_EuGene_00131371". The record is from RNAcentral. Lineage: Eukaryota; Fungi; Ascomycota; Sordariomycetes; Magnaporthales; Pyriculariaceae.